This 253-nucleotide ribosomal RNA is filed under the name uncultured bacterium. Its description in RNAcentral is "partial 16S ribosomal RNA". It matches the Rfam family "Bacterial small subunit ribosomal RNA", at positions 524 to 776 of the family's 1533-position model. The record is from RNAcentral.
UACGGAGGGGACUAGCGUUGUUCGGAAUUACUGGGUGUAAAGGGCUCGUAGGCGGCCAACUAAGUCGGACGUGAAAUCCCCAGGCUCAACCUGGGAACUGCAUCCGAUACUGGAUGGCUUGAAUUCGGGAGAGGGAUGCAGAAUUCCAGGUGUAGCGGUGAAAUGCGUAGAUAUCUGGAGGAAUACCGGUGGCGAAGGCGGCAUCCUGGACCGACAUUGACGCUGAGGAGCGAAAGCCAGGGGAGCAAACGGG